AGAGUUUGAUCAUGGCUCAGAACGAACGCUGGCGGCAUGCCUAACACAUGCAAGUCGAACGAAGGCUUCGGCCUUAGUGGCGCACGGGUGAGUAACACGUGGGAACCUGCCUCUUUGUUCGGAAUAACUGCGGGAAACUGCAGCUAAUACCGGAUACGCCCUACGGGGGAAAGAUUUAUCGCAGAGAGAGGGGCCCGCGUCCGAUUAGGUAGUUGGUGGGGUAAUGGCCUACCAAGCCGACGAUCGGUAGCUGGUCUGAGAGGAUGAUCAGCCACACUGGGACUGAGACACGGCCCAGACUCCUACGGGAGGCAGCAGUGGGGAAUAUUGGACAAUGGGCGCAAGCCUGAUCCAGCAAUGCCGCGUGAAUGAUGAAGGCCUUAGGGUUGUAAAGUUCUUUCGUCGGGGACGAUGAUGACGGUACCCGAAGAAGAAGCCCCGGCUAACUUCGUGCCAGCAGCCGCGGUAAUACGAAGGGGGCUAGCGUUGUUCGGAAUUACUGGGCGUAAAGGGCGCGUAGGCGGCCAUUCAAGUUAGGCGUGAAAGCCCUGGGCUCAACCUAGGAAUUGCGCUUGAUACUGUAUGGCUUGAGUUCGGGAGAGGUGAGUGGAAUUCCCAGUGUAGAGGUGAAAUUCGUAGAUAUUGGGAAGAACACCAGUGGCGAAGGCGGCUCACUGGACCGACACUGACGCUGAGGCGCGAAAGCGUGGGGAGCAAACAGGAUUAGAUACCCUAGUAGUCC
RNAcentral lists this ribosomal RNA (742 nucleotides) under uncultured bacterium. RNAcentral describes it as "bacterial SSU rRNA". It matches the Rfam family "Bacterial small subunit ribosomal RNA", at positions 8 to 796 of the family's 1533-position model. The record is from RNAcentral.